CUUGGUCAUUUGAAGCAGCAGAUCCCAUACCCAACCCACGAAGGCGCGGUAGCCAUCGGAUAGCGCAUUGAAAGGCAGCAAGACCCCGCGAGACUCAAAUAGAGGCGAUUUGCUUCCCUGGGACUCCUCUACAAGACGAACCUCGUCCGGCAAUAUUGUGUUAAGGAUCGCGCGUGCCUGGUGAAGGACGCCCAGGGCAUUGAGCUGAAGAUACCCGUAUUGGAAUGGAGACAGUCCGACGUGCUCCUCGAAGAGGUUGGCUACGCGCUGGUAACGGGGGCUGCGGCUGCUCUCGCUAUAGCCCUCUGGUCGCUCGGUCCGCCGACUCGCCCCAUAGCU
This 339-nucleotide unclassified non-coding RNA is filed under the name fungal sp. RNAcentral describes it as "partial internal transcribed spacer region". Lineage: Eukaryota; Fungi. The record is from RNAcentral.